RNAcentral lists this long non-coding RNA (1277 nucleotides) under Fukomys damarensis (Damara mole-rat). RNAcentral describes it as "lncRNA (ENSFDAG00000021618.1)". Lineage: Eukaryota; Metazoa; Chordata; Mammalia; Rodentia; Bathyergidae. The record is from RNAcentral.
GGCUGACUCUGUCCACCUUUAUGCUCUAUUUGUAUGUGUGCUUUUGUAUUUUUUUCGCUUAAAGUGGGUUUGGUUCUAAGGGGCCCGGAUUCAGCACUGGGCAGGACGCAGAGAGCGCCGCGGUCUGGAGCUGGGCCCUGGGCACAAGCCAGGCUCCCAGGAGGCAACGCUUCACUGGAGCAGGCCGGAGGAGGGCGGGGCUGGGCCUUGCGGGGAGGCCAGCUUGGGCGGGGCUCCCGGGAACUUUAACCUUUACCCCAGUCCUGGAAGGCGUCCUAGAGGGAUCUUUAGGGUCUGUUUUCCUCAGCACCGUUUUGGAAGCAGCUCCGCCAGCAGGUGGAGACCGACCUGGAGGGGCUGACCGGCCAUCUGGGUCUCAGCUCCAAUGUCGCCUUCCUGGAGAGCUUUCUGUCCCCACCGGAAGUGCAGCCCGGCCUCGCGGUGGAAGUUCCCCUCUUCUCUCCGGCCUUUGUCCUGAGCUGCUCAGCCAAGGCGGAAGCAUGAGAGGCUCUCCUGAAGGACCGCAAUCCCGGGGUGAGGCCGGCGGGGCAGAAGCGCGGUCUCGGCAGCUGCUUCCCUCUGCGCCCCAAGGGACAAGCACGCGCGCGCCAGGGGGGCGACCCUCCCAGGACAGCGGGGUCCCGGGGUCCCUUCCCCCUGCCCCCCAGGAAGUGGGUACAAAUCCUCCAGCUCCUGCGCCCAGGUGCAGCUCUCGCGGCUCCAGGGCCUCCCUCCCUCACCGCCUUCGCGGGUGAUCCCGGGUCACAGAGCUGGACUCCUGGGAGCUGAGCGGCUGACCAGGCUACCCCCGCCAGAGCCUUAAUGUCCGCGUCCUAACCCCGUCCUCUGCUUCCUGGCUCCUUUAUUCCAGCCCUUGCAGUGGUGAUAACUUUUUCCCUGCUGCCUCAAAUCAGACUCGACAAAGGAAAGGAUCGCCUUGCUUAACCAUUCUAUUUGGGGUCACCCCACGGCAUGGUGCUAGCAGAUUUCUCAGUGAGGUGGUAGUUCACAACAGCGAGUUUGUGAGAGCCGGGGAAGGACAAGUUCCCACAAGCCUGCACCCAGCCCUGACGGGGACACCCUGCUGUAUCGGUAAGGACCAGAAGAAGGGCCAAGCGGAUUUAUGAUGUUGGUGAUUCUUUGUUAAAUUAAAAAUGGAUUUACUGGAAAAUCUUGUUAGAUUAUCAGAUUGAGAGAGAGAGAAAAAGUGACCCUCCCAGCUGCCACAGGGGCCACAUGGCCUGUUCUCUCACCUUGGACUUCAUUUCCUGCCAGCC